GAUGAACGCUGGCGGCGUGCCUAAUACAUGCAAGUCGAGCGAACGGACGAGAAGCUUGCUUCUCUGAUGUUAGCGGCGGACGGGUGUGUAACACGUGGAUAACCUACCUAUAAGACUGGGAUAACUUCGGAAAACCGUAGCUAAUACCGGAGAAUAUUUUGAACCGCAUGGUUCAAAAGUGAAAGACGGUCUUGCUGUCACUUAUAGAUGGAUCCGCGCUGCAUUAGCUAGUUGGUAAGGUAACGGCUUACCACGGCAACGAUGCGUAGCCGACCGGAGAGGGUGAUCGGCCACACUGGAACUGGGCCCGGGUCCAGAGUCCUACGGGAGGCAGCAGUCGGGUAUCUUCCGCAAUGGGCGAAAGCCUGACGGAGCAACGCCGCGUGAGUGAUGACGGUCCUCGGAUCGUAAAACUCUGUUAUUAGGGAAGAACAUAUGUGUAAGUAACUGUGCACUUCUUGACGGUACCUAAUCAGAAAGCCCCGGCUAACUACGUG
RNAcentral lists this ribosomal RNA (497 nucleotides) under uncultured bacterium. RNAcentral describes it as "partial 16S ribosomal RNA". It matches the Rfam family "Bacterial small subunit ribosomal RNA", at positions 28 to 507 of the family's 1533-position model. The record is from RNAcentral.